GCAGUAGCCGCGGGAAUACGUAGGGUGCGAGCGUUAAUCGGAAUUACUGGGCGUAAAGCGUGCGUAGGUGGUGGUUUAAGUCCGUUGUGAAAGCCCUGGGCUCAACCUGGGAAUUGCAGUGGAUACUGGGUCACUAGAGUGUGGUAGAGGAUAGUGGAAUUUCCGGUGUAGCAGUGAAAUGCGUAGAGAUCGGAAGGAACAUCUGUGGCGAAGGCGACUAACUGGGCCAACACUGACACUGAGGCACGAAAGCGUGGGGAGCAAACAGGAUUAGAGACCCCCGUAGUCCCUGUCUCUUAUAC
This 302-nucleotide ribosomal RNA is filed under the name uncultured bacterium. RNAcentral describes it as "partial 16S ribosomal RNA". It matches the Rfam family "Bacterial small subunit ribosomal RNA", at positions 508 to 807 of the family's 1533-position model. The record is from RNAcentral.